UCCUGGGUGACUCAGUUGGUAGAGUGCUCCACUGGAAAUGGAGAGAUCCUGGGUUCAAUACCCGGACCAGGCA
This 73-nucleotide transfer RNA is filed under the name Ixodes scapularis (black-legged tick). It matches the Rfam family "tRNA". From Rfam's summary of the family: Transfer RNA (tRNA) molecules are approximately 80 nucleotides in length. The record is from Rfam by way of RNAcentral. Lineage: Eukaryota; Metazoa; Arthropoda; Arachnida; Ixodida; Ixodidae.